UCGGGAAUUUUGGGCAAUGGGCGAAAGCCUGACCCAGCAACGCCGCGUGAGGGAUGAAGUAUUUCGGUAUGUAAACCUCGAAAGAAUGGGAAGAAUAAAUGACGGUACCAUUUAUAAGCUCCGGCUAACUACGUGCCAGUAGCCGCGGUAAUACAUAGGGAGCAAGCGUUGUUCGGAUUUACUGGGCGUAAAGGGCGCGUAGGCGGCGCGGUAAGUCACUUGUGAAAUCUCUGAGCUUAACUCAGAACGGCCAAGUGAUACUGCUGUGCUAGAGUGCGGAAGAGGCAACCGGAAUUCUUGGUGUAGCGGUGAAAUGCGUAGAUAUCAAGAGGAACACCUGAGGCCAAGGCGGGUUGCUGGGCCGACACUGACGCUGAUGCGCGAAAGCCAG
RNAcentral lists this ribosomal RNA (391 nucleotides) under uncultured bacterium. RNAcentral describes it as "bacterial SSU rRNA". It matches the Rfam family "Bacterial small subunit ribosomal RNA", at positions 355 to 763 of the family's 1533-position model. The record is from RNAcentral.